Molecule: ribosomal RNA, 505 nt
Filed under: uncultured bacterium
Lineage: Bacteria
Description: partial 16S ribosomal RNA
Rfam family: Bacterial small subunit ribosomal RNA
Source: RNAcentral
AGUGAACGCUGGCGGUAGGCCUAACACAUGCAAGUCGAACGGCAGCACAGGAGAGCUUGCUCUCUGGGUGGCGAGUGGCGGACGGGUGAGGAAUACAUCGGAAUCUACUCUGUCGUGGGGGAUAACGUAGGGAAACUUACGCUAAUACCGCAUACGACCUACGGGUGAAAGCAGGGGACCUUCGGGCCUUGCGCGAUUGAAUGAGCCGAUGUCGGAUUAGCUAGUUGGCGGGGUAAAGGCCCACCAAGGCGACGAUCCGUAGCUGGUCGUAAAGGAUGAUCAGCCACACUGGAACUGAGACACGGUCCAGACUCCUACGGGAGGCAGCAGUGGGGAAUAUUGGACAAUGGGCGCAAGCCUGAUCCAGCCAUACCGCGUGGUGAAGAAGGCCUUCGGGUUGUAGAGCCCUUUUGUUGGGAAAGAAAUCCAGCUGGCUAAUACCCGGUUGGGAUGACGGUACCCAAAGAAUAAGCACCGGCUAACUUCGUGCCAGCCGCCGCGGUAA